This 496-nucleotide ribosomal RNA is filed under the name uncultured bacterium. RNAcentral describes it as "partial 16S ribosomal RNA". It matches the Rfam family "Bacterial small subunit ribosomal RNA", at positions 29 to 507 of the family's 1533-position model. The record is from RNAcentral.
AUGAACGCUGGCGGCGUGCCUAAUACAUGCAAGUCGAGCGAACGGACGAGAAGCUUGCUUCUCUGAUGUUAGCGGCGGACGGGUGAGUAACACGUGGAUAACCUACCUAUAAGACUGGGAUAACUUCGGGAAACCGUAGCUAAUACCGGAUAAUAUUUUGAACCGCAUGGUUCAAAAGUGAAAGACGGUCUUGCUGUCACUUAUAGAUGGAUCCGCGCUGCAUUAGCUAGUUGGUAAGGUAACGGCUUACCAAGGCAACGAUGCAUAGCCGACCUGAGAGGGUGAUCGGCCACACUAGAACUGAGACACGGUCCAGACUCCUACGGGAGGCAGCAGUAGGGAAUCUUCCGCAAUGGGCGAAAGCCUGACGGAGCAACGCCGCGUGAGUGAUGAAGGUCUUCGGAUCGUAAAACUCUGUUAUUAGGGAAGAACAUAUGUGUAAGUAACUGUGCACAUCUUGACGGUACCUAAUCAGAAAGCCACGGCUAACUACGUG